UUGCCUUUCCAUAAGCGGAGGAAAAGAAACCAACAGGGAUUGCCUCAGUAACGGCGAGUGAAGCGGCAAAAGCUCAAAUUUGAAAUCUGGCUGCUUUUUUAGUAGUCCGAGUUGUAAUUUGAAGAAUAGAUCCUUGGAGAGGCGCCUUGUCUAUGUUCCUUGGAACAGGACGUCGCAGAGGGUGAGAAUCCCGUUUGGCGAGGUGUGCUGAUCCGUGUAAGGGCUGUUCGACGAGUCGAGUUGUUUGGGAAUGCAGCUCUAAGUGGGUGGUAAAUUCCAUCUAAAGCUAAAUAUUGGCGAGAGACCGAUAGCGAACAAGUACAGUGAUGGAAAGAUGAAAAGAACUUUGAAAAGAGAGUGAAAAAGUACGUGAAAUUGUUGAAAGGGAAGGUUAUUAGAUCAGACUUGGAUUUUUUAUUAUAUUUGUCUCCUUGUGGGGCAUUCACUAAUUUUUAAUCCAGGCCAGCAUCGAUUGGGAUGGCGGGAAAAAGAGGGAGGAACGUGGCUGUGCAUUUAUGUGCAGUGUUUAUAGCCUUUCUUAAUACCGCCUGUCUCGAUCGAGGACUGCGGCAAAUUUAUUUUUGCCUAGGAUGCUGGCGUAAUGAUCUAAUAUCGCCCGUCUUGAACCGGGCCA
RNAcentral lists this ribosomal RNA (634 nucleotides) under Barnettozyma californica. RNAcentral describes it as "LSU rRNA". It matches the Rfam family "Eukaryotic large subunit ribosomal RNA", at positions 36 to 668 of the family's 3401-position model. Lineage: Eukaryota; Fungi; Ascomycota; Saccharomycetes; Phaffomycetales; Phaffomycetaceae. The record is from RNAcentral.